AAGCAUGCAAACUUUUCCACAUUUCCAGGAUCUUGCGUCUGAGCCCUGGAGGUCCUGCGUGCUGACUGUGAAGAGGCAGGAAGGGCAUGGCCUGUGGGGUCCUCACCCUUUGGUCGUCAAGCAACUCUUCAUUUACAAAUGGGAAAUCCACAACAUUGGUCAAGAAGAAAAGGCACCAUGAAUGGGAAGACCGAAGUGCAGACAACCAGCUGGAACAAGGGUGAAAAUAUAGGAGAUUACGAUCCAUUCCUGGGUGGACGGCCAGCGUUCCAUCUUCACUAACACGAUAUAGUUGAAGAGCAUCAGGUAUCCGAUAUACGCCAGCUGUAAGGAGACACAAUACAGUGCUCUGGCUGUUCAGGCCCAGGAGCCCCAGCAUCAGCCAAGGCCACUGCACAGCAGCACAGAGCAGGGUCAGCAAGCAGGACACAGACUUUAUGACAAAAGGAACUUGAAGGUGCUAAACUAACAAAAGAAUUAGAAAAGACAGUAAUACUUGAAGGAUUAUAAUAUGCAAUCUUCCUUUUGACCUGUACAUGUAUCUCUGGGGCUCUGGUGCUUCGUUUAAAUCUAUGUGUCAUGAUGCAUCAUUUCGCCUUGCAGUUACCCAUUUUUGUGUGUUUUCUUGGCUAAAAAGGGAGCCUUGGCUGUCAGUGGCGGCUCUUGCUCAGGCGUGGACCUUAGGUUCUUAAACUAGGGCAGCACAGUGGAUUUUUGCCUCACGAAUGCCAGGCAGAAUAAGUGUCUGUGAGAAGCAAAGGAAGAGGAAGACACAUGUAACACCUGUAAAUUGGUCAAACCAACAUAAAAAUAGCCCAGGCUUAAAGUGCUUCGCUUGUCAGUGCCCUGGGAGGGUCUUACCUGUUUUCAUUUCACCACUUUCCUGUCCUAAUCAAGUUAAGAUAAGAUAUUCCUUCCUGGUGUCUGCUUCAUUGAAACAACACAAGAAAAGACAACACAGUUUACAGAAAGGAAAGGGUCCGUGUGGCCUUUUGUGGACGGGUGUGGGGUUUAAUCCCCAAGAGGCUCUGGCUCGUGGGGUUGAAUCCUGAUGUGACUGGCUGAAUUGCUGGAUGUCUGGGAAGAACUCCCUAGGGUUUGGUGACUGCUCCUGGAAGAUUCAGUUGUGUCAAGGUGAGUGAAGUGCAGGGAAACUGGUGGCUCUUGCAUAAGGGGCUGAGGAGCCUUGAGAGAAGACUCACUCACCUUAAGGGAAAUGGCAGACUAGCUGGGCCUUCCUUACACAAUGCCUCAAGUCAAGUGAGGUACUCACUGGCCUUAGGGGCCUCAGGGGCUGUGAGCAGGAACCAAGAGGGAGUUUAUUAACUAAAAUCUGCUGCACUCUUCAGAGUGGUGUAGCAAAGAAUAGACACAGUGUGGGUGAAAGGAUUGAGGCCUUGAGGGGUCUGGAGGUACUGCAUGACUUUGUAGCUGGGAAGGCAGCUUAGAAGGUGGAGGAAGCUGCAGCCUUGCUGGGGGAUAUGCUGCUUUCUCUACUAAUUCUCUUAUGUUUUGGGACAGGGUCUCACUCUCGUCACCCAGGCUGGAGUGCAGUGGCAUUGUGAUCUCGGCUCAUUGUAGCAUUGACUUCCUGGGCUCAGGUAAUUCUCCUACUUCAGCCUCCUGGGUAGCUGGGAUAACAG
RNAcentral lists this long non-coding RNA (1643 nucleotides) under Homo sapiens (human). RNAcentral's name for it is "PREDICTED lncRNA (TCONS_00260733)". The record is from RNAcentral. Lineage: Eukaryota; Metazoa; Chordata; Mammalia; Primates; Hominidae.